This 746-nucleotide ribosomal RNA is filed under the name uncultured eukaryote. RNAcentral's name for it is "bacterial SSU rRNA". It matches the Rfam family "Eukaryotic small subunit ribosomal RNA", at positions 1 to 777 of the family's 1831-position model. The record is from RNAcentral.
UACCUGGUUGAUCCUGCCAGUAGUCAUAUGCUUGUCUCAAAGAUUAAGCCAUGCAUGUGUCAGUAUAAGUAUUAUAUAGCGAAACUGCGAAUGGCUCAUUACAUCAGUCAUAACUUAUUUGAUAUUUGAAAGUUACAUGGAUAACCGUGGCAAUUCUACAGCUAAUACAUGCGUUCAUACCCAACUUUACGGACGGGUAGUAUUUAUUAGAUAUUAAACCAAUCCUUCGGGUUGUGAUGAUUCAUAAUAACUGAUCGAAGCGAGGAUUUCCUUGCUAAAUCAUUCAGGUCUCUGCCCUAUCAGCUUUAGAUGGUAGUGUAUUGGACUACCAUGGCUAUAACGGGUAACGUAGAUAAGGGUUCGAUUACGGAGAUGAAGCCUGAGAAAUGGCUUCAACAUCUAAGGAUGGCAGCAGGCGCGAAAAUUGCCCAAUCCCGAUUCGGGGAGGCAGUGACAAGAAAUAACAACUCAGGCAUUGUCCCAGGGAUUGUAAUGAGAAAAAUGUAAAAAACUUAUCGAGUAUCAACUGGAGGGCAAGCUAUGGUGCCAGCAGCCGCGGUAAUUCCAUCUCCAGUAGCGUAUAUUAAAGUUGCUGCAGUUAAAAAGCUCGUAGUUGAAAUUCUGUCCGGUUGAGCGAUUUCCACUUGGUUAUCGCCUCACCGGGCAUCUGUCUGCAAUCAUUUUCACGGCAUUCACUUGUCGGGAUUGGGAGCAGGCGUUUUACCGUGAGAAAAUUAGAGUGUUCC